This is a long non-coding RNA of Vespa crabro (European hornet), 1919 nucleotides long. RefSeq lists it as uncharacterized. The transcript has 3 exons. The record is from RefSeq and is a predicted model, not a curated record. Lineage: Eukaryota; Metazoa; Arthropoda; Insecta; Hymenoptera; Vespidae.
ACGGAAAAAAUUUAAGUACAGUACUUACAUCUAUCCUUUGAAAACAGUACAUACACAUAUACAGUAUGUACAUAUUGUACACAUAUAGUUAAACGUAGUUACUAAACGUUAGAGAAAACGGACAUUACGGUUAUGGGUAAACUCAGGUAUAAGAUAUUAGUAAACGCUGAACAGUAGUUUCUCAGUCUGUUACAAUACUCGAACGUGGAAACAUUAGUUGCUUCGUUUCAUUAGAUAGAAAUAAAAAUUUUAAAUGUUAUAUUUUUCAUUUGUUUUUUUUACUUUUUUAUUAUCAACUUUACUAAUCGAUCAUAUUUCGAUUAGAUUGAAUUAUUUUCGAUUACGCGGGUUAAUUAAUUUAUAAAAUUAUAAAAAAAACUUUUAUAGUUCUUUUUUUUUUAAAUUUCUUCCUUGUCUCUUGAUAUUCACGUCACGUGAUCAUCGUGACGCCAUUUCAUGUUAUCCAAUGAACUUACGAUUGUGUUAUUUUAUCGUCUACGCGGGACAAGAUGACCAUCUCAUUCGUGCAUUAUAAAACAAGAUACUUUUAAAUGCCGGUCAUUCAUGGAAAGAAAAGAAGAAGAAAAGAAGAGAGGAUAAAGAAGAAGACGAAUACGCCUGGAAAGCUAUGGUAUUCUUAUGGUAUCUCGUCAUGGGAAAUUUGUUCGAUCGGUUAUGCCGGGAAUGACGAAAAUGACACCGAUUUUCAAUGAUUUGUCCUGGUAUCGUUCGAAGGUUCUUCGUGCGUUGAAAUAUAUGAUCCAAGAAAGGGGACCAAUGGAACGAAAGAAAGAAAGAAAGAAAGAAAGAAAGACGAAGAAGACGAAAAAGACGAACUGGCAAUUUCGUCGAUUUCACGAAGAAUACCUAUCUAUCUAUAUGGCGUUAUAUACCUGACACUGCUAUAUACUCUUAAAUCAUCUUAUAUAUAUAUAUAUAUAUAUAUAUUAUAUGUAUAUGUAUAUUUGUAUAUAUGGAAUCCCUCACGUAGAAAUAAAAAAGAACGUUUAUUUAUUCUAGAUGAUCGAGAAACAGAAGAACAGAAAGAUCAAGAAGAAUUCAUUUGAGAUGAAUGAUGGGACUACGGGCUUAUGGGUUCUCUUGAUAAUUCGAAGAAAACAAUUUGAAUCGGAGCUAAUAUCGAAUAAAGAAGAAGUAACGACACAUAUGUAUGAUCGAACGUGUUUCGUUGGAUUUAUAAGAGCAAAAAAAAAGAAAAAAAAAAAGAAAAAAAGAAAAAAGAAAAAAGAAAAAGAAGAGAAAGAAAGACGAAGAAAAAAGCAAGGACCAAACAAAUAAUAAAGCACAGAAAGAUAUUUAAGGACAACUAAGACGAUUCAAAAUCAUAGACAAGCCUGUCUAUGUUAAUAGGAAUAUAUAUAUAUAUAAAAAAAAAAAAAAAAAAAAGAAACAAAACAAAAGAAAAGAAAUAAAAAAAAAAAAAAAAAAAAAGAAAAACAAGAAGAGAAAAUUUUCGAAAUUUCUGAUUAACCCGGAAACUUUUGUGGCUUUCAAAAGAAAUAAAGAUAUUAUAUGGUACACGUAAGUACUGUGCGCGUUGGCUUGAUCCUAGGCUGCGGUACAAUUCCGCACUAAUUGAUUUUACGACGUGCGUUAUAUUGACCGUGAAGAUCGUCUCCGUCGUACUAGUAUUGAUAGUAGUAAUAGUAGUAGUAGUAGCGUAGCAAUAGGAACAGUAUUAGUAGUAUUAGUAAUAGUAAUAGAAGUGGUAAUAGUAGUAGUAGUCGUAUGGAGGUCGUGAAGCGUAGUAUCUACCCAGUGAUGGUAGCAAAAGCCAACGAUUGCAGCAGGGUGCAGAUGACAUCCUGAGGCGAGUCAUGCAUGACGCCCUUUUUGGGGGCCAACGAAUGUUAUUGCGAAAAAGAUUUCUAAAGAUAAUAAUAAUAAUAUUAUAUAAU